UCCAGACUCCUACGGGAGGCAGCAGUGGGGAAUAUUGGGCAAUGGGCGCAAGCCUGACCCAGCAACGCCGCGUGAAGGAAGAAGGAUUUCGGGUUGUAAACUUCUUUUCUGAGGGACGAAGGAAGUGACGGUACCUCAGGAAUAAGCCACGGCUAACUACGUGCCAGCAGCCGCGGUAAUACGUAGGUGGCAAGCGUUAUCCGGAUUUAUUGGGUGUAAAGGGCGUGUAGGCGGGAAUGCAAGUCAGAUGUGAAAACUAUGGGCUCAACCCAUAGCCUGCAUUUGAAACUGUAUUUCUUGAGUGCUGGAGAGGCAAUCGGAAUUCCGUGUGUAGCGGUGAAAUGCGUAGAUAUUAGGAGGAACACCAGUGGCGAAGGCGGCCUGCUGGACGAUGACUGACGUUGAGGCUCGAAAGCGUGGGGAGCAAACAGGAUUAGAUACCCAAGUAC
RNAcentral lists this ribosomal RNA (449 nucleotides) under uncultured bacterium. RNAcentral describes it as "bacterial SSU rRNA". It matches the Rfam family "Bacterial small subunit ribosomal RNA", at positions 330 to 793 of the family's 1533-position model. The record is from RNAcentral.